Long non-coding RNA from Mercurialis annua (annual mercury), 456 nucleotides. RefSeq lists it as uncharacterized. Lineage: Eukaryota; Viridiplantae; Streptophyta; Magnoliopsida; Malpighiales; Euphorbiaceae. The transcript has 3 exons. The record is from RefSeq and is a predicted model, not a curated record.
CCUCCGCUCCUCGCCCUUUUCUCUUUUGCUCCGGCCGCCUGCUGACGUUUUCGACUCCCUGUCGCCGUUUUGGAUCUGUUGCUGCCCUCUUCUCUCUUCCUCCGGCUAGGACCUGAUGCCGCCGGCUAGGAUCUGCUGCCGCCGUCCAUUCUUCCUCCGGUCCGACUCGUGAGCAUGCUCUUCUUACUUUUACCCAUGGUGUCAAGUAAAUGAUCUGUUGCUGUAAUAAGAUCACAUCAGUAUUGAGUGGGAGCUAUCGUAUGCAAGGACCAUCAGUAGUUGUAGAAGAUACUGAACAAGAUAUUUACAAUUGUUCUUUAUCUUUUUCAUCAACAUUAUUCUUUGACCAGGAAAUACUCACAAGUUAGGAAAUGGACACUUGGUUUAACUGGUGGCAAAGACUGAAUAGCAAUGAUUAUAGCCUCGGGGAGCAUUAGUCGUGUGCGGAGUCCAACA